Triticum aestivum (bread wheat) is the source of this 138-nucleotide non-coding RNA. NCBI's taxonomy places the organism in Eukaryota, Viridiplantae, Streptophyta, Magnoliopsida, Poales, Poaceae. The record is from Rfam.
AUAAAGUUCCUUUGGGUAAGAAGUACUACUUGUCAUCAAAAUGGAUAAAAGGAGAUGUAUCUAGACGUAUUUUAGUUCUAGAUACGUCCCUUUUUAUCCAUUUUGAUGACAAGUAUUUUCGGACGGAGGGAGCUUAUA